Molecule: ribosomal RNA, 465 nt
Filed under: uncultured bacterium
Lineage: Bacteria
Description: partial 16S ribosomal RNA
Rfam family: Bacterial small subunit ribosomal RNA
Source: RNAcentral
GACGAACGCUGGCGGCGUGCUUAACACAUGCAAGUCGAACGGAAAGGCCCUGCUUGCAGGGUACUCGAGUGGCGAACGGGUGAGUAACACGUGGGUGAUCUGCCCUGCACUUCGGGAUAAGCUUGGGAAACUGGGUCUAAUACCGGAUAGGAGCCAUCUUUAGUGUGGUGGUUGGAAAGUUUUUUCGGUGUAGGAUGAGCUCGCGGCCUAUCAGCUUGUUGGUGGGGUAAUGGCCUACCAAGGCGGCGACGGGUAGCCGGCCUGAGAGGGUGUACGGCCACAUUGGGACUGAGAUACGGCCCAGACUCCUACGGGAGGCAGCAGUGGGGAAUAUUGCACAAUGGGCGCAAGCCUGAUGCAGCGACGCCGCGUGGGGGAUGAAGGCCUUCGGGUUGUAAACUCCUUUCGUUAGGGACGAAGCUUUUUGUGACGGUACCUAGAGAAGAAGCACCGGCUAACUACGUG